GUGAAGAAGUCAUUUAGCAGGAACGUUUUGUUUGCUAUCGACCUAGCAUUUAGCAAAGCCAUGCAAAGUUUUCGCUCUGGGCUUGCCGAAGGUAUAGUGCGUCUCAGCUGACGAAGAUGUGCGUGUUGAACGCCGCGCGGGCCGGGAGCAGUCAGUCGGGCAGGAGGAGCUGCCAGCGGGCCCAGAAGAGGCCGCAGCUCCGGAAAAACAGGGCGAAUCCACCGAUCCCUCACAUGGCGUGCAGCGGGAGGGCCAUGGCAUCCGAGGCGUGGAUAAGUCCCAGAAGAAGCCGUAUGCCUUAAGAUGGACCAGUGCACCACCAGGCUUUCCCCAUCGUCUAAAGCGCUUUCGGUGAGGCAGGAUGCAGGGCAACCGGCGCAGGACCUCAAGGACCCACAGGUGCGACAGGAUUGGCUCCAGCUGGGCUUCCAUUGCAUAUCUAAUGCAAUCAGACACCCCUGAUUUUGUCCUUGGAUGGCUUUCCGAAAAACUCAGAUGCCAAUCAAGUGGUUUUAUCAGUUGGGUCCAUGUGUGUCAUCAUAUGAUUUCCCCCUUAAAUGAUAACUCAUGUAUGAGGUACUGUAUGUCUGUGAUUAUAUGUUUGUAUACUAGUCUAUACAGUAGGUGUGGAUGUGUAUGUCAGAGGGACUAACAAGUCAAGCCACUUGAAUAUUCUCUCUGUUGUGUUUGGUCCCCAUGUGACUACAUUUAUGCAAAUACAGCCUUUUUAUAUAAACUCUGACGAUAAUGUAUGGAGAUUCGGCACAGCACCAUUUUGAAAGCACUUUGAAUGUGGGUCUCCCCAAGGGUUCUAGAAUUUAUCCGUGUGUACAUGUGUGUUUGUUCGUGCUUGCAUAUCCCUACGUGUGUGUGUGUCCUGUGUUUGUAGCGCGCUGAGCCCAGGGACAUCAGCAAUGCCACCACUGUCCCAGUUUCUUGCAUCCCUCUUAAAAAACAUGUUGAUUCAGACAAACCUCCUUUUCCUCCUCUGCUCCUCUCAUCCCCUCACUCCUCUUGGGAUGAACUGGAGGAGACGUACAACCACAGCAGACGUUCAUCAACCACAGCCAGGGUGUUUGAUUUUUACACUUUCUUCCAGUUCUUUCACUUUAUUUUAUUAUUCCAAAUCAUAUUUUCCCCCAGCUGACUUCCAUGUGAAACGACAAGGAAGCUAGUCAAUAGGAUACAGCAGGAGCAUGCCUGUUGGUCGUUAUUUUAACUAGUCAAUUGUACUGCGAAUUGCACUCCCGAGAGAUGUCGCAAAUGCAACAACAAAUGGUGGUAGAAGCAAGCCGGGGGACUUUUUGAUGGCCAUCAAUCACUUUUGCUGCUAUAGCUGCUGCAGCAGAUUUUUCCAAAAAUGUUGGAAAAGUGAAAUGUGUUGGACGGUAUAAUAAUUAUGUCUCAAAUGACUUUGGAUUGCUUCAAAAAGGUACUUUUUAUACAGUCAGAAAGUAAUCCACUGGGGGAAACCGUGGGACCAACAGCAGUGUACUGUUUCUAUGAAAUGUUCAAAUUGAGAUCAAUACAAACUUAACUAAGGCCUUGUCUGCUCUGAUCGGUUAGCUGGCCAGCUCUAUUAUGAUUGGUCAACUGCUGUCGUGCCCCUUAGCAUAUCACGUACAAUGUGUUGGAGCGCUAGCGCCAUAGAAGCACAAUUGUUACAUAGUUAUUUCAUUAUGUUAUCAAAGUAAAAUGUAUUGUCAAUCUUCUGUGUGCAAGAUAGACAGGGAGAUCGAAAUGUUGUUACUCACAAUCCCAAGGAAUAAAAGUUAAAAUAUCAAAAGAAUAUAUAUAUAUAGUAUUACUCUAAACAUGAGCCUAAUGUCUGCUUUAAGAGGCAGGGAUAUUUGAUAAGUGAAGGAUGAGGAGUUGGUGACUCCACUGUCAUGACAUUAUGAAGAAAGUAUAUGAAAAGAGAUGUAUUUGAAAAAAAUCCCUUGAUGAAUAAUGAUGAAAAAUAUCAUUUUUAAUUAAAAUGUUAAAAUUCAGUUUAAUUUUUUUUAAAUGAGCACUUGUAUCAAUGGAUUUCUACUGCCAUGUAUUUCAUCAUAUAUUUCUCCCACUGUAAAACAGAUACAAUAUGCAGUUUCUCUUCCAUCUUUUAUCUUUAUGGAAGAAUGUUUCAAUGUUUUUGUUCAAAGCAUCAAAAGCUUGUGAGGUGUGUGAUGGGCUUUUUACUGCCUUUGUCAGACAUCAGCCAGAGAAACAUUUUCAUCUAGGUGAUAGUUUGUAACAAGAUUUCAGAGAUAAGACCCUCUGAACUCACUGCCAGCCAGCCCCACUGUACUGUAUAUCGAUCUAUUUCCUCUCUUAUUAUUAUUAUUAUUAUGAUUGUGUGUGUGUGUGUGUGUGUGUGUGUGUUUGUGCUCAUGCGUGAGUGUGUGUAAUCACAUGAAUCACAACUCAAGAGAUGGCCAACAAAAGUAGGUUACCUCAAGCAUUAGUUAUGGUGGGUUCCUCUUAGACAUGCAGAUUGACAGAUUUAGCAUGCGUGUGUUAUGCGAGUGUGUGUCCACAUGCAUGCAUGGAAUUGAGUGUGUAUGUUCUCCUUCGGGCACAGCAGCAGAUUGCUGAGCAGACAAAUGUGUCCAUCAGCCAGUCUCCAGGCCUUCAACUCUGACUAAUCGACAACACUGAGAGACGUGUACAUGUGCGCGUAAUGGUUGGGGGGAUGAGGGGGUCAAAAAUCGAGUGUAGAAACAAAUUAGGGUUGUGGCUAGCGGAAAUGGGGUAGGUGAAGGAGUUCAGCAACACGGUAAGGGAGACAGACAUGGAUGGAGAAGAGAAUAUCCUGAAAGUCGCGAUAGCAUGGUGAACUGAGAACUCUGCGUAAUUAUGAAGACGACAUGAGGGUCUUACGAGGCAGCGAGUAAGCAAAGAAGGAAAUGACAAAGCAGAGAGAUAAUUAAUAAAGAAAACAGGAAGUGACAGGUGGUGAAAGCAAGACAGCAGGAAAUAAAGAAUGGAAGAACAGGCAGACCAAACACACCCCAAGGCCCCAGACUAUGACUAAUAAACAAGAGGAAGGGGGAGAAUAUGACCAGGGGGAGGACAACAUGAAGGAGAAUAGAAGAUAGGGAAAGCAACAUCUCUCUGUCCCUUCUACUGUAAAUGAAUCAUUAAAUGGAGAGGUAGAGGGUUUGACUUCUCAAAAGGUCAACUGAACAAAGAUUCUCAUCAAAAUGUCAUCUGUAUAUUGCUUAAAGCUGCACUAAGCAAUUUGUUAUAUUAGAAAUGGAUCCGAAUUAUUUGUUAUAAUGUAAGAUGUAAUGUUGGGUUGAGGUAUGUCACCAAACUGCAUGCUGUAUAAAGCCAUUUAGCCUCUUAGAUCAUUCUUUGGUUUUCUGACUUGCAACAAAACCUGGUUUAAAUGUUCUUGAAUAACAUAAAAAUACCUGGUUCAA
Long non-coding RNA from Gymnodraco acuticeps, 3407 nucleotides. RefSeq lists it as uncharacterized. The transcript has 2 exons. The record is from RefSeq and is a predicted model, not a curated record. Lineage: Eukaryota; Metazoa; Chordata; Actinopteri; Perciformes; Bathydraconidae.